GUUAUCUGUACUGUCCAUACCCUCACUUCUUCCAUUUAUCUGAUCUAAGUGCUCUGAAAAACUGCCAACUAUACAAAGAAGAAAGGAUAAACACAUUGAGGGAAAACGGGGGGUCAGGGAGGAGAAAUGGUACAACUGUGACAUAGGAUUUUUUCUUUCGAGUUCAUAAAACAACAUUACAGAAAUCUGAGUAAUUUUUCUGCACUCAAGAAUGAAUAAACGUUAACAAAAUGAAUUGAAGCAACAGUUUU
Molecule: long non-coding RNA, 251 nt
Organism: Strigops habroptila (Kakapo)
Lineage: Eukaryota; Metazoa; Chordata; Aves; Psittaciformes; Psittacidae
Exons: 3
Source: RefSeq, a predicted model, not a curated record